AACGAACGCCGGCGGCAUGCCUAACACAUGCAAGUCGAACGAGACCUUCGGGUCUAGUGGCGCACGGGUGCGUAACGCGUGGGAAUCUGCCCUUGGGUUCGGAAUAACAGCGAGAAAUUGCUGCUAAUACCGGAUGAUGACGUAAGCCCAAAGAUUUAUCGCCCAAGGAUGAGCCCGCGUAGGAUUAGCUAGUUGGUGAGGUAAAGGCUCACCAAGGCGACGAUCCUUAGCUGGUCUGAGAGGAUGAUCAGCCACACUGGGACUGAGACACGGCCCAGACUCCUACGGGAGGCAGCAGUGGGGAAUAUUGGACAAUGGGCGAAAGCCUGAUCCAGCAAUGCCGCGUGAGUGAUGAAGGCCUUAGGGUUGUAAAGCUCUUUUACCCGGGAUGAUAAUGACAGUACCGGGAGAAUAAGCUCCGGCUAACUCCGUGCCAGCAGCCGCGGUAAU
This 450-nucleotide ribosomal RNA is filed under the name uncultured bacterium. RNAcentral describes it as "bacterial SSU rRNA". It matches the Rfam family "Bacterial small subunit ribosomal RNA", at positions 29 to 524 of the family's 1533-position model. The record is from RNAcentral.